GUGAGUGAGAGCGAGUUCCAAUGUGGUCCUCGAAACCAGUUGUGCUUCGAUCAGAUUCCAAAAUUGACACAUUCCGACCUUGAAUCACCCACAG
Non-coding RNA from Drosophila melanogaster (fruit fly), 94 nucleotides. The record is from Ensembl. NCBI's taxonomy places the organism in Eukaryota, Metazoa, Arthropoda, Insecta, Diptera, Drosophilidae.